GUCAGCGCUGGGGUUUUUCCGGCGCGCCGCUGAUUGGCCCGAUGCUCGUUGCUGACGUCACGGCUCCGCCAGCUGAUCGGAGUGAGAAAGCCGGUUUUUGAAGAGAGGAGUUGGAACCGGAGAGAGAGAGAGAGACACCGGAGAGAGGGAGCCCCGAGGAGCAGCGAGCAUGCACGGGGUGUGGGUCCGGCUAACCGGAUACUCAGACUGGACCGUUUUUUACGUUUUUCUUUUUUUUAAUUUAAAAAAGGGGUUUUAAAACGUUAACAGGCGGAAGUGCACGAGACACACGACGCAGACGGGCGGGGUUUGAGGGUGAACUUGCGGGGCUUUUGCAUCUCGUCUAAAACCCCCACUGGAACUCUGGAGAAAAAAAUUGAUUGAGAGUUAAGGUGUGGCUGAGGGUUUCUCUGUCAGGCUUCGACCCUGGAAACAUGUCACAACCCCGACUGUGUUCUCCUCGAGUGUCCAGACUCACACCCACCGAUACGUUUAUAGAUUCUGCUCCGUCAUUUUCAUCCGGGGAGAUAUUACAUAACUGUAAUCACCAUUUCUUUGACGCGCGCGCACACCUUGUCUCCACGCGCGCUCCCGGUAUAGAUGAAUUGGACUAUUACGCAGUUAAGAAUGUCUUCAAGGUGCAGCAGAUCUUCACGUCAACUUGAGAUCGUGGCGUCGGGAUCUACAUCCGGGGAAUCCGCAGAGGCGUUACAUGAUGGAGGGAAUCUGCCCGUGAGUGAAUUAAGAGCUUGUGAAAGGAGGGAUGAGAAUCCACCUGAUCCUACAGGACGGGAUCAUGCUGCUUUCCUGUGAUGUGUGCCAGUAGACCUGGGUGGCCUGCACCUGCACCUGCAGCUGCUGCUCCAGCUGUGACGAGCAAACAAGCUGCCGCAUCAUCAAAGGAGCCGACGGCGUCACACACAAAACAUAGAAUUGAUCAUUAAAGUUAACGCAUGAGAAAAAAUCUGAUUUUAAGGGCCUUAUUAUUUGUCACAUUAAACGUCUUUAUAAGGAUAA
This is a long non-coding RNA of Pseudoliparis swirei, 1017 nucleotides long. RefSeq lists it as uncharacterized. The transcript has 4 exons. The record is from RefSeq and is a predicted model, not a curated record. NCBI's taxonomy places the organism in Eukaryota, Metazoa, Chordata, Actinopteri, Perciformes, Liparidae.